This 255-nucleotide ribosomal RNA is filed under the name uncultured bacterium. RNAcentral describes it as "partial 16S ribosomal RNA". It matches the Rfam family "Bacterial small subunit ribosomal RNA", at positions 524 to 776 of the family's 1533-position model. The record is from RNAcentral.
UACGUAGGGUGCAAGCGUUAAUCGGAAUUACUGGGCGUAAAGCGUGCGCAGGCGGUUUUGUAAGUCUGACGUGAAAGCCCCGGGCUUAACCUGGGAAUUGCGUUGGAGACUGCAAGGCUUGAAUCUGGCAGAGGGGGGUAGAAUUCCACGUGUAGCAGGUGAAAUGCGUAGAGAUGUGGAGGAACACCGAUGGCGAAGGCAGCCCCCUGGGUCAAGAUUGACGCUCGAUGCACGAAAGCGUGGGGAGCAAACAGG